This 468-nucleotide ribosomal RNA is filed under the name uncultured bacterium. Its description in RNAcentral is "partial 16S ribosomal RNA". It matches the Rfam family "Bacterial small subunit ribosomal RNA", at positions 28 to 507 of the family's 1533-position model. The record is from RNAcentral.
GACGAACGCUGGCGGCGUGCUUAACACAUGCAAGUCGAACGGAAAGGCCCUGCUUUUGUGGGGUGCUCGAGUGGCGAACGGGUGAGUAACACGUGAGUAACCUGCUCUUGACUUUGGGAUAACUUCAGGAAACUGGGGCUAAUACCGGAUAGGAUCUCCUGCUGCAUGGUGGGGGUUGGAAAGUUUCGGCGGUUGGGGAUGGACUCGCGGCUUAUCAGCUUGUUGGUGGGGUAGUGGCUUACCAAGGCUUUGACGGGUAGCCGGCCUGAGAGGGUGACCGGGCACCUUGGGACUGAGGGACGCACCAGAGGCGUACGGGGGACAGCAGUGGGGAAUCUGGCCCAGUGGGAGGGAGCCUGAUGCAGAGACGCCGCGUGCGGGAUGACGGCCUUCUGGUUGUGAACCGCAUUCGCCUGUGACGAAGCGUGAGUGACGGUAAUGGGUAAAGAAGCACCGGCUAACUACGUG